This 199-nucleotide ribosomal RNA is filed under the name uncultured bacterium. RNAcentral describes it as "partial 16S ribosomal RNA". It matches the Rfam family "Bacterial small subunit ribosomal RNA", at positions 1302 to 1500 of the family's 1533-position model. The record is from RNAcentral.
AGUCUGCAACCCGACUACAUGAAGCUGGAAUCGCUAGUAAUCGCGGAUCAGAAUGCCGCGGUGAAUACGUUCCCGGGUCUUGUACACACCGCCCGUCACACCAUGGGAGUCGGGAAUGCCCGAAGUCAGUGACCCAACCUUAGGGAGGGAGCUGCCGAAGGCAGGCCUAGUGACUGGGGUGAAGUCGUAACAAGGUAGC